Molecule: long non-coding RNA, 499 nt
Organism: Pan troglodytes (chimpanzee)
Lineage: Eukaryota; Metazoa; Chordata; Mammalia; Primates; Hominidae
Exons: 2
Source: RefSeq, a predicted model, not a curated record
AAAAGGGGCAUCAUAGGGAGCAGAACUGGCUAGAGCAUCUCCACCAUCUUCCUUCAAGCACGUGGACUGACACCCAGGCCUCCUGGUGUCCUGACACUGCAGGCUCCUGGAAUAUACCUCCACCAGCAGGCAGGAAUCUGUCCUAUUCCCAGCAACCACUAGAGGCACUGCCUGACCCUACUGCGGCCACAAGCAGAGGGACCCCAGGAUUCUCAACUCUGUUACCUUGUCUCACCUCCCCUAGGAAGGAGAAGAGUGCUAUGAAAAUCUUUAGCUGCUGAUCACAGCUAUAAACGAGAUGAAGAGGGUCCCUGUCCUCUUGGUGUUUCCAGUCUCCCAAAGAAGACAGACAUGAAACAAUGGUGGUUACAGUUCAAGAUGGAGGUACUAUCUGAGCUUAUGGCAAGGGGUUUUAAUCUCAUCCAAAGGGCCAAGGAAUGCCUCUUUAAAGAAGAGAGAACAAAUAAAAAUCAUUCAUAAUUCCAUUACCUAUAAAUAA